CAGGUACAGAGGGAUGCUACCGGGCGACCGGAUGCGGAUCUCGAAAGCCUGUCCCAGUUCGGACUGGAGUCUGCAACCCGACUCCACGAAGUUGGAUUCGCUAGUAAUCGCGCAUCAGCCAUGGCGCGGUGAAUACGUUCCCGGGCCUUGUACACACCGCCCGUCAAGCCAUGGGAGCCGGGGGCGCCUGAAGUCCGGGACCGCGAGGACCGGCCUAGGGCGAAACUGGUAACUGGGCUAAGUCGUAACAAGGUAGC
This 257-nucleotide ribosomal RNA is filed under the name uncultured bacterium. Its description in RNAcentral is "partial 16S ribosomal RNA". It matches the Rfam family "Bacterial small subunit ribosomal RNA", at positions 1234 to 1500 of the family's 1533-position model. The record is from RNAcentral.